Molecule: ribosomal RNA, 222 nt
Filed under: uncultured bacterium
Lineage: Bacteria
Description: partial 16S ribosomal RNA
Rfam family: Bacterial small subunit ribosomal RNA
Source: RNAcentral
GAUGAACGCUGGCGGCGUGCCUAAUACAUGCAAGUCGAACGCACAGCGAAAGGUGCUUGCACCUUUCAAGUGAGUGGCGAACGGGUGAGUAACACGUGGAUAACCUACCUCAAGGUUGGGGAUAACAUUUGGAAACAGAUGCUAAUACCGAAUAAAACUUCGUAUCGCAUGAUACAAGGUUAAAGGCGCUACGGCGUCACCUAGAGAUGGAUCCGCGGUGCA